CUAAAAUUGCCCAUAUCCCUAAAAUUGUGGUGCCUCUACACGCAUUGUUUCUACUACCUCCAGAAGUUCGACUCCAAUAAACCUAUCAGAUCGAAAACUUCUCGCCUUCUCUUCCAUCGCCCAUCACUCUCUCUCUCGCGUGUGCCUCCAUUCCAGAGCUGCUCGGAAACAAAAAUUGAAAGAAGUUUGGCAGUUGGGCAAUAGUACAAGAGGCUUGUUUCGAUUGUAUGAUUGGUCUUGUUUAGGAUUUGAGCUUCAGUUCAGUUGGUUCACUAGAAGAGUUGGUUGGUAAUAGAAACUUUGUUUCUGGGUAAUGCCCUGUGUUUUGGUGAAUUAGGUAUAGAAUAAUUGGAUAUACUUUUAUUAUUUCGUGGGAAAAAAGUCUAAUAUGAUACAUAAGCUACCAAAGAAGUCUUUUUUUUCUUCUUCUGAU
This is a long non-coding RNA of Rosa rugosa (rugosa rose), 433 nucleotides long. RefSeq lists it as uncharacterized. The record is from RefSeq and is a predicted model, not a curated record. NCBI's taxonomy places the organism in Eukaryota, Viridiplantae, Streptophyta, Magnoliopsida, Rosales, Rosaceae. The transcript is spliced from 3 exons.